Arachis ipaensis is the source of this 172-nucleotide non-coding RNA. The record is from RefSeq and is a predicted model, not a curated record. Lineage: Eukaryota; Viridiplantae; Streptophyta; Magnoliopsida; Fabales; Fabaceae.
AAUUCGGUUUGUUUAUGCCGCUUGUAGCUGUUUCUACUUUCGAGAGGGAGCAAGCAGGGCCGAGGUUCUAAUUGUCGGUGAUUUCGGGCUGAGCAAAAAGGAAUCAGUUAACAAGUUUGGGUUAUGGCUUGCAUUUUGAGGAUAUGGGCGCAGAAGUCACGAAGAGUUUAUU